Molecule: ribosomal RNA, 446 nt
Filed under: uncultured bacterium
Lineage: Bacteria
Description: bacterial SSU rRNA
Rfam family: Bacterial small subunit ribosomal RNA
Source: RNAcentral
AACGAACGCUGGCGGCAGGCCUAACACAUGCAAGUCGAACGCCGUAGCAAUACGGAGUGGCAGACGGGUGAGUAACACGUGGGAACAUACCCUUCGGUUCGGAAUAACUCAGGGAAACUUGAGCUAAUACCGGAUACGUCCGCGAGGAGAAAGAUUCAUCGCCGGAGGAUUGGCCCGCGUCUGAUUAGCUUGUUGGUGAGGUAAUGGCUCACCAAGGCGACGAUCAGUAGCUGGUCUGAGAGGAUGAUCAGCCACAUUGGGACUGAGACACGGCCCAAACUCCUACGGGAGGCAGCAGUGGGGAAUAUUGGACAAUGGCGCAAGCCUGAUCCAGCCAUGCCGCGUGAGUGAUGAAGGCCCUAGGGUUNUAAAGCUCUUUUACCCGGGAAGAUAAUGACUGUACCGGGAGAAUAAGCCCCGGCUAACUUCGUGCCAGCCGCCGCGGU